RNAcentral lists this ribosomal RNA (497 nucleotides) under uncultured bacterium. Its description in RNAcentral is "partial 16S ribosomal RNA". It matches the Rfam family "Bacterial small subunit ribosomal RNA", at positions 28 to 507 of the family's 1533-position model. The record is from RNAcentral.
GAUGAACGCUGGCGGCGUGCCUAAUACAUGCAAGUCGAGCGAACGGACGAGAAGCUUGCUUCUCUUGUGUUAGCGGCGGACGGGUGAGUAACACGUGGAUAACCUACCUAUAAGACUGGGAUAACUUCGGGAAACCGGAGCUAAUACCGGAUAAUAUCUUUAACCGCAUGUUUCAAGAGUGAAAGACGGUAUUGCUUUCACUUAUGGAUGUAUCCCCGCUGCAUUAGCUAGUUGGUAAGGUAACGGCUUACCAAGGCAACGUUGCUUAGCCGACCUGAGAGGGUGUCCGGCAAAACGGGACUUGAGACACGGCCAAGAUUCCUCGGGGAGGAACAAGAGGGGAACUUUCCGAAUUGGGCGAAGGCCUGCCGGAGAACGGCGGCGUGAGUGAUGAAGGUCUCCGGAUCGAAAACUCUUGUUAUUAGGGAAGAACAUAUGUGUAAGUAACUGUGCAUAACUUGACGGUAACUACUCAGAAAGCCACGGCUAACUACGUG